UACAGAGGGGGCAAGCGUUGUUCGGAAUUACUGGGCGUAAAGCGUGCGCAGGCGGUCUUUUAAGUCAGAUGUGAAAUCCCCGGGCUUAACCUGGGAACUGCGUUUGAAACUGGAAGGCUAGAGUGUGGCAGAGGGGGGUGGAAUUCCACGUGUAGCAGUAAAAUGCGUAGAGAUGUGGAGGAACACCGAUGGCGAAGGCAGCCCCCUGGGCUAACACUGACGCUCAUGCACGAAAGCGUGGGGAGCAAACAGG
RNAcentral lists this ribosomal RNA (253 nucleotides) under uncultured bacterium. RNAcentral describes it as "partial 16S ribosomal RNA". It matches the Rfam family "Bacterial small subunit ribosomal RNA", at positions 524 to 776 of the family's 1533-position model. The record is from RNAcentral.